Molecule: ribosomal RNA, 138 nt
Filed under: uncultured bacterium
Lineage: Bacteria
Description: partial 16S ribosomal RNA
Rfam family: Bacterial small subunit ribosomal RNA
Source: RNAcentral
UGGGGAAUAUUGCACAAGUGGGGGGAACCCUGAUGCAGCGACGCCGCGUGAAGGAAGAAGUAUUUCGGUAUGUAAACUUCUAUCAGCAGGGAAGAAAAUGACGGUACCUGACUAAGAAGCCCCGGCUAACUACGUGCC